This 618-nucleotide ribosomal RNA is filed under the name uncultured bacterium. RNAcentral describes it as "bacterial SSU rRNA". It matches the Rfam family "Bacterial small subunit ribosomal RNA", at positions 338 to 944 of the family's 1533-position model. The record is from RNAcentral.
CCUACGGGAGGCAGCAGUGGGGAAUUUUGGACAAUGGGCGCAAGCCUGAUCCAGCAAUGCCGCGUGAGUGAAGAAGGCCUUCGGGUUGUAAAGCUCUUUUGUCAGGGAAGAAACGGUAGGGGCUAAUAUCCUUUACUAAUGACGGUACCUGAAGAAUAAGCACCGGCUAACUACGUGCCAGCAGCCGCGGUAAUACGUAGGGUGCAAGCGUUAAUCGGAAUUACUGGGCGUAAAGCGUGCGCAGGCGGUUUUGUAAGUCUGUCGUGAAAGCCCCGGGCUCAACCUGGGAAUUGCGAUGGAGACUGCAAGGCUUGAAUCUGGCAGAGGGGGGUAGAAUUCCACGUGUAGCAGUGAAAUGCGUAGAGAUGUGGAGGAACACCGAUGGCGAAGGCAGCCCCCUGGGUCAAGAUUGACGCUCAUGCACGAAAGCGUGGGGAGCAAACAGGAUUAGAUACCCUGGUAGUCCACGCCCUAAACGAUGUCUACUAGUUGUCGGGUUUUAAUUAACUUGGUAACGCAGCUAACGCGUGAAGUAGACCGCCUGGGGAGUACGGUCGCAAGNUUAAAACUAGAAGUAGUAGCGNGNGAGAGCGACGACGACGACGACGGAGGAGGAGG